UAAUACGGAGGGCGCGAGCGUUGUUCGGAAUUAUUGGGCGUAAAGCGCACGUAGGCGGCUCGAAAAGUCUCUUGUGAAAGCCCGGGGCUCAACCCCGGGAGGCCAGGGGAUACUGUCGAGCUGGAGACAGGCAGAGGCUGGUGGAAUUCCGGGUGUAGCGGUGGAAUGCGUAGAGAUCCGGAGGAACACCGGAGGCGAAGGCGGCCAGCUGGGCCUGAUCUGACGCUGAGGUGCGAAGGCGUGGGGAGCGAACAGGAUUAGAUACCCUGGUAGUCCACGCGGUAAACGAUGGGCACUAGAUGCCGGUGGGAACGACCCCAUCGGUGUCGGAGCUAACGCAUUAAGUGCCCCGCCUGGGGAGUACGACCGCAAGGUUG
Molecule: ribosomal RNA, 377 nt
Filed under: uncultured bacterium
Lineage: Bacteria
Description: bacterial SSU rRNA
Rfam family: Bacterial small subunit ribosomal RNA
Source: RNAcentral